This 435-nucleotide long non-coding RNA is filed under the name Sorghum bicolor (sorghum). RNAcentral's name for it is "long non-coding RNA (SBIC_LNC006096)". The record is from RNAcentral. Lineage: Eukaryota; Viridiplantae; Streptophyta; Magnoliopsida; Poales; Poaceae.
UCGAAAAAUGAUUGCUAAUGGUCAAGUUAUAUAUAGAUGACUCAAUAGACUACUGAGAGGCCAUAUUUAUAUUUCUUUCAUACCCGCAGCAACGAGCGAAAAAUCCUCCUAGUUCCUUAAAAAUGAAAGGAUGCAAAUGGUCCCUUAAUGUUCUAGUAUCCGGUUGAUUUUAGUUUUUUUUUUAAACAAACAAAGCUUGGAGAGACUUUUUUUUUUGCAAGGUACACUAUUGUCGUUGUCUGCAAUAAAGUACUAUACCUACUUCAUUAUGGGUUUUCCCGUUCUCCUUAUCAAGAAUACACCUAUAUAUGUCUAGCCCUGCCCUGAAUAUAUCUGCAAGUACAAGUACAACUUUUCCAACAAUUGCACUUUCUCUCACCCAAACUUGAGAACGCAAUAUGUAUGCCCAAACGGCCAAACCUCGAAUAAAUCAGU